GAUGAAGAACGUAGCGAAAUGGGAUAAGUAGUGUGAAUUGCAGAAUUCAGUGAAUCAUCGAAUCUUUGAACGCACAUUGCGCCCCUUGGUAUUCCAUGGGGCAUGCCUGUUCGAGCGUCAUUUGUACCUUCAAGCUCUGCUUGGUGUUGGGUGUUUGUCCUUGCUCUAGUGGCGGGACUCGCCUUAAAGUAAUUGGCAGCCAGUGUUUUGGUUUUGAAGCGCAGCACAAGUCGCGAUUCAAGUCUAUACGCUAGUUUCCACAAGUCUUUUAUCACUUUUGACCUCGGAUCAGGCAGGGAUACCCGCUGAACUUAAGCAUAUCAAUAAGCGGAGGA
This 335-nucleotide unclassified non-coding RNA is filed under the name soil metagenome. RNAcentral's name for it is "partial contains 5.8S ribosomal RNA, internal transcribed spacer 2, and large subunit ribosomal RNA". The stretch from base 1 to 120 matches the Rfam family "5.8S ribosomal RNA", at positions 35 to 154 of the family's 154-position model. The record is from RNAcentral.